GACGAACGCUGGCGGCGUGCUUUAGGCAUGCAAGUCGAACGCGAAAGCCCCUUCGGGGGUGAGUAGAGUGGCGAACGGGUGAGUAACACGUGGGUAACCUGCCCCUCGCAGGGGGAUAACCGGGGGAAACCCCGGCUAAUACCCCGUACGCUUGCUGGGGCGCAUGCUCCGGCAAGGAAAGGUAGCUUCGGCCAUCCGGCGAGGGAGGGGCCCGCGGCCCAUUAGCUAGUUGGUGGGGUAACGGCCCACCAAGGCGACGAUGGGUAGCUGGCCUGAGAGGGUGGUCAGCCACACUGGGACUGAGACACGGCCCAGACUCCUACGGGAGGCAGCAGCCAGGAAUCUUGCGCAAUGGGCGAAAGCCUGACGCAGCAACGCCGCGUGGGCGAUGAAGGCCUUCGGGUCGUAAAGCCCUGUUGUCGGGGACGAAGGGCGAAGGGUUAAUAGCCCCUAGCCUGACGGUACCCGACGAGGAAGCCCCGGCUAACUACGU
This 493-nucleotide ribosomal RNA is filed under the name uncultured bacterium. Its description in RNAcentral is "partial 16S ribosomal RNA". It matches the Rfam family "Bacterial small subunit ribosomal RNA", at positions 28 to 506 of the family's 1533-position model. The record is from RNAcentral.